This is a long non-coding RNA of Anneissia japonica, 893 nucleotides long. RefSeq lists it as uncharacterized. The record is from RefSeq and is a predicted model, not a curated record. The transcript has 4 exons. NCBI's taxonomy places the organism in Eukaryota, Metazoa, Echinodermata, Crinoidea, Comatulida, Comatulidae.
UAUUAAGCGACCAUGAAUUAUUUGCAGUGGUCAAAGAGGAUCACCGAGUUAGCGGAAUCAUCAACCGGAAUUUCUCAAAACAAACAUUCAACAUGAAUAAAAUCCUGGCAGUUAUUUUGGUCACAUCAUUGUGCUUAUGUCUGAGUGAAGCAGGCAACUUCUACCAACAAAAGCAGAGGGGCAGGAAUUACGGUAGAUCCGCUGAUUUACAGCGUGCAGCACUCCUUAACAAGCUCUACAGACGUACGUUUUGGGAAGAUCCAGAAGAAUGGGACACCGGGUAUCCUAAACGAGAUGAUGAAGAUUGGCUCUAAAAUUUAUAAGAAUACCAAGUUGGUCAUUACCGGGUAGCAACUAGUCUAGUCAUCGUGUUUUAUAGUAGAUAUAUCGAAACAUUUUUUAACAUCAAGUUGCGUUCAAUUUCAAUUGUGUGAUUGUUCAAAACAUGUAUUAUGAUAAUGCUGACAAUUAUUAUUUUCAAUGAUAAAUGAGACAUUAUAUAUUAAGAGCCGUUACGAGAAGCUAAACUACUCUAACUCAAGAUUCAGGGCAAAUAUAGAAAGAAACGAAAGGGAAGAAAAUCAACCGACGGACACACUUGCUUGAUCGUCCCGAAACAAAGAUAUAUAUAAUCUUGACCCAUAUUCAUACUCGCUUGAGUCUAUUGUUAAAAUUACUGUUUGUAAAAAUUAAUAACAAUUUAUUCGUUUGGAAAUAGGCAUAUGUACAGACAAAGUAGAGUGGAGCAUACUCGUGUUUUUGGCUUGGGAAUAAUGAGAGGACUUUACGAAUAGAUUAAUAUUGUUAUUACACGAGUGUGCUAAUUACAAUAUGGCUUUAUUUUUGCUUUCAUGAUAAAAUAAUUUGAUCAAUAAAAUCUAAUAGACUUUGAA